UCAGUUUCCUUUUCUUCUUCUCCUUCGUAGACGGUUAAUAAGUCUAUUAUGAGCUAGGCGGCUAGCGGUGGUUGCUGGGAGGAGGUGAUGGGCCGCGAGAUCAGUGAUUGAUUGUUGUCAGGGGAGCUUCGAUUGAUCAAGAGCUGCUGGUGUGGAGGGUCACGACUGGUACUGUUGAGGGCUCGUGGAGAAGAGACGAUAAUGAUUGAUGAUGGGUGGAGGAAAGGAAAGCAAUGGCUCAGCUGCUGCAAUUAUGGUGGUCUUUCACGGUCGUGUAUGUUGGUUGUUGCUGCUGCUCUACCGCCGUGGCGGGGAAGGAAAGAUGAGGGUCACGGGUUAAAGAUGGUGGCUGGAUGAAAUGGGUUUAAUGGAGGAUAUCGGGUUGAUGAAGGAGAUCUGUCAUGGUGACUGAGUUAUUGAGAAAAAUAAUCGGUGAAUGGUAGGUGUUGCCGAGGGUGGGCUGGGGAAUGGUUGCUACAAGGAGGAGCUGCUUUGGGAGACUCUGUUUUGCACGGAGAGGGAGAUGAGAGCUAUGAGUGGGAGGUGGUGUGUUUCUGUCUUUCUAUGACUGGAAAAGGAGGAGAAGGGCUGGUGAGCUGCGUGGCUGGGUUUUCUUAUGGUGAAAGUGGUGAAUCAGGAAGGAGACCACGGUGAGGAGAUUGGUAAUGGGUGGUUUUAUUGGUUGCUGAUAGCAAGCUUCCUUGUUUCCGGUCCCCGAGAAGGGAUUUUGAAUAUUUUGCUUUUUGAAAGAGCGGGAUCUCUUCUGCAAUGUCUAAGAGACAAACUUUUCUUUUGCUUUUUGAAAGAGUGUGGGUGGGUGCCUUUUGGAUCUGAC
Molecule: long non-coding RNA, 835 nt
Filed under: Populus tremula
Lineage: Eukaryota; Viridiplantae; Streptophyta; Magnoliopsida; Malpighiales; Salicaceae
Description: long non-coding RNA (PTRE_LNC000612)
Source: RNAcentral